RNAcentral lists this transfer RNA (72 nucleotides) under Camelus ferus (Wild Bactrian camel). It matches the Rfam family "tRNA". From Rfam's summary of the family: Transfer RNA (tRNA) molecules are approximately 80 nucleotides in length. Their secondary structure includes four short double-helical elements and three loops (D, anti-codon, and T loops). Lineage: Eukaryota; Metazoa; Chordata; Mammalia; Artiodactyla; Camelidae. The record is from Rfam by way of RNAcentral.
GGUGGCAUGGCUCAGUAGUAGAGCACAUGCUUAGCAGGCAUGAGGUCCUGGGUUCAGUCCGCAGCACCUCCA